AACGAACGCUGGCGGCAUGCCUAACACAUGCAAGUCGAACGGCUCUUCGGAGCAGUGGCGCACGGGUGAGUAACGCGUGGGAACCUACCCUGAGGUUCGGAAUAACGGCUGGAAACGGCC
RNAcentral lists this ribosomal RNA (120 nucleotides) under uncultured bacterium. Its description in RNAcentral is "partial 16S ribosomal RNA". It matches the Rfam family "Bacterial small subunit ribosomal RNA", at positions 29 to 161 of the family's 1533-position model. The record is from RNAcentral.